CAGCCGCCACGGGAAUACGAAGGGGGCUAGCGUUGUUCGGAUUUACCGGGCGUAAAGGGCGCGUAGGCGGACUGAUAAGUCAGGGGUGAAAUCCCAAGGCUCAACCUUGGAACUGCCUUUGAUACUGUUUGUCUUGAGUUCGAGAGAGGUAAGUGGAACUGCGAGUGUAGAGGUGAAAUUCGUAGAUAUUCGCAAGAACACCAGUGGCGAAGGCGGCUUACUGGCUCGAAACUGACGCUGAGGCGCGAAAGCGUGGGGAGCAAACAGGAUUAGAUACCCCUGUAGUCCCUGUCUCUUAUAC
RNAcentral lists this ribosomal RNA (301 nucleotides) under uncultured bacterium. RNAcentral describes it as "partial 16S ribosomal RNA". It matches the Rfam family "Bacterial small subunit ribosomal RNA", at positions 509 to 807 of the family's 1533-position model. The record is from RNAcentral.